AAACAAUGUAUAUUGGGGGCUCCGGUGUACCAGAUAGCAAAGACACAGAGAUGACUAAAACACAAGUUUCACCUUUAAAGAAGACACAAUCCACUGGAAAAAAACACAACAAAAAAGUAACUGUAAUAAAGAGGGAAAUGCUGUUGGGAGGUCACAAUCACUAAGCAUCGAAGCCAGAGAAUGAAAGACUUCAGACAGAGCUUAAGUUUGGCAUGGUAUCCAGUGAAGACGUGAAAGUGCUAGUCACUCAGCUGCCUCUAACUCUGCGACCCCAUGGACUACAGCCCACCAGGCUCCUCUAUCCGUGGAAUUCUCCAGCAGAUCCCAGACAUCAUGUAAUGUCAUCCACAUUACAUCAGUACAAAUUUCUAAAAGGUGUAUGAAGUAGGACAUUUCCAUCUCCCAGUACCCAUUACUCCCCUUCUCAAUCAAGAAAACAGCCCUUCUCACACCUUAUACUGAAGUCUGUCAUUACCUCAGAGCUUUCAGCACAUUCAGAAAAACAUUUAAUCCAAUGGCACAGCCUCCUUCCUCCACAGGAUGGUCUUCAGUGGCAGCUGUAUAAUCCCUAUAGAAGGACUUCAGGAACUGCAGUCUAAUGAGGGAAGGGGACAGUGGCGAUUAUAUGAUAAAGCUGAAUAUGCAUGUGUCCUACCAAAAGAAGAGGACCGGAGAAUCUCAAACCAAGGCUCCUCCACAAAAGGGAACUCAGAGAAGGUGGGACAAAGACAGCCAGGGUGAGCUGCUGACCAAAGCAUGUCACAGACGCACAUUCUCUCCUGGUAACUGCUCUGCAGUGGCGCUGUAAGCACUGCAGUGCUGCCAAUAUUAAGUCUGAGCUCAUGAAUGCCGUGCUGCAAAAGUCACCAGCAACUGAACAGGAAGAGAGUUCCCAUUCUCUACUUGGUUUAUUCAUCCCAGGGUCCUGAUCUAGGAGGCUGGAGAGUUAACAGAAUUUGGGAAAGGGCCAGGUUUACCACUUACAGUUGGGCGGAGCACGGUGCUUGAUCAAUAAAUAAAGUUUACUUUAGCCUCUUAGUCUGUGCAAUAGGUAGUAUGUGUAAGAGAAAGUGACCAUAAAUAUUUCUCUGAUGUUCAGAAAACACCUACUACACAACCUCUUUCAACCAACACAAAUAUCUGAAUUACCUGAGUCUGAUGGUUACAUAUGGUUAUAGGAAAAACCCAGACCAUUCAGGGGCUGAGAGGGAGCAGAGAGAAAAAAAAAUCACAUACCUCUAAAAGACAAAACAAACAGACAAACAAAAAGAUACAUUCUGAAAACAGAAGAGGAAAAAAAAAAUAGGUGAAAAUAGGUGACUCUCUUUGGUUCCAAGUUACCUGACUGCAGAAGUAAGAUAAAUGCUGCAGUGCCCGGGAGAAAAAUCUAUCUACCUGAGUAACUGAACAGCAGCUUCUGUAACUGCCAAUACCCAGGCACCUUCCUCACCAUUAUAUAACCAAACCCUGGCCUUAAUAGACCAUCAUACUGUAUGUCAACAGUUGUUAGACACAUCUUGGCGGCAAGCAUUUGAGAAACCUUUCCAAAGUGGAUUCAGAUAAGCAAGAAGCAGGCCAAAAUAUGUUCAUCAUUUACCCAGAGCACAUGACAACUCCCUGUGAAUUAAGCUUCACGCAUGUCGUCAGAGUAAUUUAAGCAGCGAAAGAGAGGGUGCCUGUAACUAGGAAAUUGCACACUGCUACAGAAACACAAAUGAGUGCUGGUGUGGUCCCCUCACACAUGCAACUCAUUGUCCAAGCCAUUUCAGCCUCAUUCAAGACUUUGAAUAUUUCCAUACAUAGGAAUUGCAUAACUGCCGACCACAAAUGAUCAAAGAUAAAAACCAACAUAAACAGUGACACCCGUUUAUAAACAAGCUGAUGUUUAAAAUGCUGCAGUCCUAAAGGAUACCAACAACUUAGAGAAAAACUUAGACACAUACACACACUGGAAAAUUAGAAAGCGGGCAGACCAGCCAUAAUUAGCCACUGGCUUUGCUGACUACUGAAGAUAGAAAUGUCUCUAUUAUGUAUAAAGCCAAGAAUCAACUGUUUGCAAUUACAUUUACAAAAACAUUGAACCCUCUGUCCCAGAUUUUUUUAAUCAUUAUUUUGGUGUAUCCAAGGGCUGGGCGAUACAGAAUUCUUUAAAUCAUAGAUACCAUAAACCAGGCAGCCAAUUAAGUUCACAGAGUCCAUCCCCCAGAGGUCAGAGCAAAAUAAUCACAGAAGCCCAAGUGAUUACUUAGGUGGGAAGGGGAGGGUGUGGAAAAGGAAAUACCAAAACAAGGAACAAGGCUGGAACAAUUAGAGUUGUUUGUAAACAUAAAUUUGUCUUGGCUAACUGUAAACACAAUAGGAAACACUCAGAGGGGCAGGGAUGCACCAGAGUCUUGGUUCAGUUUACUCCCUGUCAGGGUCUGAGGGUAGCAUCAGGAAACCUUGGGCUCUGGUAUCUCAUUCAGCUCAGACCUGCAGACUUGAGGCCCUCUGA
Long non-coding RNA from Odocoileus virginianus texanus, 2494 nucleotides. RefSeq lists it as uncharacterized. NCBI's taxonomy places the organism in Eukaryota, Metazoa, Chordata, Mammalia, Artiodactyla, Cervidae. The record is from RefSeq and is a predicted model, not a curated record.